CCUGUCGGGACCCGAAAGA
RNAcentral lists this small nuclear RNA (19 nucleotides) under Arabidopsis thaliana (thale cress). RNAcentral describes it as "snRNA_13188". The record is from RNAcentral. Lineage: Eukaryota; Viridiplantae; Streptophyta; Magnoliopsida; Brassicales; Brassicaceae.